GAUGGGGGGGCAAGUGUUCUUCGGAAUGACUGGGUGUAAAGGGCACGUAGGCGGUGAAUCGGGUUGAAAGUGAAAGUCGCCAAAAAGUGGCGGAAUGCUCUAGAAAUCAAUUCACUUGAGUGAGACAGAGGAGAGUGGAAUUUCGUGUGUAGGGGGUGAAAUCCGUAGAUCUACGAAGGAACGCCAAAAGCGAAGGCAGCUCUCUGGGUCCCUACCGAUGCUGGGGUGCGAAAGGAUGGGGGAGCGAACAUG
This 252-nucleotide ribosomal RNA is filed under the name uncultured bacterium. RNAcentral's name for it is "partial 16S ribosomal RNA". It matches the Rfam family "Bacterial small subunit ribosomal RNA", at positions 524 to 776 of the family's 1533-position model. The record is from RNAcentral.